This 278-nucleotide ribosomal RNA is filed under the name uncultured bacterium. RNAcentral's name for it is "partial 16S ribosomal RNA". It matches the Rfam family "Bacterial small subunit ribosomal RNA", at positions 335 to 603 of the family's 1533-position model. The record is from RNAcentral.
ACUCCUACGGGAGGCAGCAGUGGGAAUAUUGCACAAUGGGGGAAAGCCCAUCGAUGCAGCCAUGCCGCGUGUGUGAAGAAGGCCUUCGGGUUGUAAAGCACUUUCAGCGAGGAGGAAAGGGUGUGUGCUAAUACCAUACAUCUGUGACGUUACUCGCAGAAGAAGCACCGGCUAACUCCGUGCCAGCAGCCGCGGUAAUACGGAGGGUGCGAGCGUUAAUCGGAAUUACUGGGCGUAAAGCGUGCGCAGGCGGUUUGUUAAGCGAGAUGUGAAAGCCC